This 466-nucleotide ribosomal RNA is filed under the name uncultured bacterium. RNAcentral describes it as "partial 16S ribosomal RNA". It matches the Rfam family "Bacterial small subunit ribosomal RNA", at positions 339 to 795 of the family's 1533-position model. The record is from RNAcentral.
CUACGGGUGGCUCCAGCGGGGAAUAUUGGACAAUGGGGGAAACCCUGAUCCAGCAAUGCCGCGUGUGUGAAGAAGGCCUGCGGGUUGUAAAGCACUUUCGGUUGGGAGGACUGCUUCUAGCACUAAUAUUGUUGGAAGUUGACGUUACCUUCAGAAGAAGCACCGGCUAACUCCGUGCCAGCAGCCGCGGGUAAUACGGAGGGUGCAAGCGUUAAUCGGAAUUACUGGGCGUAAAGCGCGCGUAGGCGGCUAGAUCAGUCGGGUGUGAAAGCCCCGGGCUUAACCUGGGAACUGCAUCCGAUACUGUCUAGCUUGAGUACAGGAGAGGAGAGUGGAAUUCCACAUGUAGCGGUGAAAUGCGUAGAUAUGUGGAGGAACACCAAUGGCGAAGGCAGCUCUCUGGCCUGAUACUGACGCUGAGGUGCGAAAGCGUGGGGAGCAAACAGGAUUAGAUACCCGCGUAGUC